Molecule: non-coding RNA, 143 nt
Organism: Triticum aestivum (bread wheat)
Lineage: Eukaryota; Viridiplantae; Streptophyta; Magnoliopsida; Poales; Poaceae
Source: Rfam
UUGUUACUUCCUCUGUCCAGAAAUACUUGUCAUCAAAAUAGACAAAAGAAGAUGUAUCUAGACGUAUUUUAGUUCUAGUCUUUUAGAUAAAUCUCUUUUUAUCCAUUUUGAUGACAAGUAUUUUCGGACGGAGGGAGUAUCUU